GGCUAACGGUGGCUUAGUGGUUAGCACGUUCGCCUCACACCUCCAGGGUCCGGGGUUCGAUUCCCGCCGGGGUG
Molecule: non-coding RNA, 74 nt
Organism: Ameiurus melas (black bullhead)
Lineage: Eukaryota; Metazoa; Chordata; Actinopteri; Siluriformes; Ictaluridae
Source: the annotation of a GenBank genome assembly